This 618-nucleotide ribosomal RNA is filed under the name uncultured bacterium. RNAcentral describes it as "bacterial SSU rRNA". It matches the Rfam family "Bacterial small subunit ribosomal RNA", at positions 55 to 679 of the family's 1533-position model. The record is from RNAcentral.
ACGGAGAUUAUACGCAGAGGCGAUUUCGGUCAAAUCAUGUGUAAUCUUAGUGGCGGACGGGUGAGUAACGCGUGGGUAACCUGCCUUACACUGGGGGAUAACACUUAGAAAUAGGUGCUAAUACCGCAUAAGCGCACGAAGCCGCAUGGAUUUGUGUGAAAAACUCCGGUGGUGUAAGAUGGACCCGCGUCUGAUUAGCUUGUUGGCGGGGUAACGGCCCACCAAGGCGACGAUCAGUAGCCGGCCUGAGAGGGUGGACGGCCACAUUGGGACUGAGACACGGCCCAAACUCCUACGGGAGGCAGCAGUGGGGGAUAUUGGACAAUGGGGGGAACCCUGAUCCAGCGACGCCGCGUGAGUGAAGAAGUAUUUCGGUAUGUAAAGCUCUGUCAGCAGGGAAGAAAGAAAUGACGGUACCUGACCAAGAAGCCCCGGCUAACUACGUGCCAGCAGCCGCGGUAAUACGUAGGGGGCAAGCGUUAUCCGGAAUUACUGGGUGUAAAGGGAGCGUAGACGAUUAAGUAAGUCUGGAGUGAAAGGCCGGGGCCCAACCCCGGGACUGCUCUCCACACUAUUUAACUUGAGUGCAGGAGAGGUAAGCCGAAUUCCUAGUGUAGC